UGUUCUCGGAGCGUAGUAGCAGUACUUAACUCGCGCGGAGAAAAACCUUACACACGAGGGAGUUUCUUUCUUUGAAAACAUUGCUUUGGUCUGGCGCAAGUUGGGCCAAAGGUUUAUUAAACUUCAAUUUUAUAUUGAACUGUUAUUUUAACUAAAGUCAAUUUGUUGAUUAAAUUCAAAAAUCUUCAAAACUUUCAACAACGGAUCUCUUGGUUCUCGCAUCGAUGAAGAACGCAGCGAAUUGCGAUAAGUAAUAUGAAUUGCAGAUUUUCGUGAAUCAUCGAAUCUUUGAACGCACAUUGCGCCCUUUGGUAUUCCAAAGGGCAUGCCUGUUUGAGCGUCAUUUCUCUCUCAAAUCUUCGGAUUUGGUUUUGAGUGAUACUCUUAGUCGAACUAGGCGUUUGCUUGAAAAGUAUUGGCAAGAGUGGUACUUUAGGUGCUAAACUGUUUCAAUGUAUUAGGUUUAUCCAACUCGUUGAAUCUGGUUAGUUACUUUAGGGUGCUUAGGCUCGGCCUUACAACAACAAACAAAGUUUGACCUCAAAUCAGGUAGGAUUACCCGCUGAACUUAAGCAUAUCAAUAAACGGGAGGAA
Molecule: ribosomal RNA, 594 nt
Rfam family: 5.8S ribosomal RNA (bases 190-343)